CCUACGGGUGGCAGCAGUGAGGAAUAUUGGUCAAUGGCCGGAAGGCUGAACCAGCCAUGCCGCGUGAAGGUCAGUGCCCUGUGGGCGUUAAACUUCUUUUGUGCGGGAGCAAUAAUGGUCACGUGUGGCCAGACGAGAGUACCGUACGAAUAAGCAUCGGCUAACUCCGUGCCAGCAGCCGCGGUAAUACGGGGGAUGCAAGCGUUAUCCGGAUUUAUUGGGGUUAAAGGGUGCGUAGGGUGUGAGGUAAGUCAGCGGUGAAAUGCCCCCGCUCAACGGGGUGAAGUGCCAUUGAUACUGCCUUGCUGGAAUGCGGAUGCCGUGGGAGGAAGGUGUGGUGUAGCGGUGAAAUGCAUAGAUAUCACACAGAACACCGAUUGCGAAGGCAUCUCACGAAUCCGCGAUUGACGCUGAUGCACGAAAGCGUGGGUAUCAAACAGGAUUAGAUACCCGGGUAGUC
RNAcentral lists this ribosomal RNA (460 nucleotides) under uncultured bacterium. RNAcentral's name for it is "partial 16S ribosomal RNA". It matches the Rfam family "Bacterial small subunit ribosomal RNA", at positions 338 to 795 of the family's 1533-position model. The record is from RNAcentral.